GCGAGUGUGGUGGAAUCGGUAGACACGCUAUCUUGAGGGGGUAGUGGCUUUUAGCCGUAUGGGUUCAAGUCCCAUCAUUCGCACCA
Molecule: transfer RNA, 86 nt
Filed under: Leptotrichia trevisanii
Lineage: Bacteria; Fusobacteriati; Fusobacteriota; Fusobacteriia; Fusobacteriales; Leptotrichiaceae
Description: tRNA-Leu
Rfam family: tRNA
About the family: Transfer RNA (tRNA) molecules are approximately 80 nucleotides in length. Their secondary structure includes four short double-helical elements and three loops (D, anti-codon, and T loops). Further hydrogen bonds mediate the characteristic L-shaped molecular structure. tRNAs have two regions of fundamental functional importance: the anti-codon, which is responsible for specific mRNA codon recognition, and the 3' end, to which the tRNAs corresponding amino acid is attached (by aminoacyl-tRNA synthetases). tRNAs cope with the degeneracy of the genetic code in two manners: having more than one tRNA (with a specific anti-codon) for a particular amino acid; and 'wobble' base-pairing, i.e. permitting non-standard base-pairing at the 3rd anti-codon position.
Source: RNAcentral